UUAGACUUUAUAAAAUCUUACUGUGCCUUUUUUGAGCUUCUGAAUGUUUUAAUUAUUAUUUUUAAGUGAGAUUUAAACUUCUCCAGCUUUUCUUGUUGGACUUCUGUGAACUGUGCGUCGUAAACCAAUGAAGGAGCAUGAAGAAAUGAAACCAUAUGAACAGAAAGUAACUGAUUUCACUGUUUGCAUCUCAUCUCAGAAACAAGGAAAGUCAUAUUCUGGUUUAGCUCUUUUCUGCAGGGCGUGAAGAUAGUAUUGAGUCCUCUAAACUUGUUAAAGAGAUUUAGCACAAAUGAGAAAUGUAAUCAGGGGAAACAAUCUGCUGUAUACAGUACCUUCAUGAAAAGACUGAAACCAAAUGCUCCUCUUGGAGUUCUUUCCUUCAGUAAAGUAAAGAAUGGUACAGUGCAAACUGCAGGGGACAAAAGCAAAGCCAGAAACCUAACUCUUGACCUUGCCACCAUGGGUGACCCUAUCAGAGGCACAAAACUCCAGAUGGAAAUGCUGUUGAGGUCAUUGGUUGCAAUCCUUGGGAUCUGGUUGAGUGUUCUGGCUCAAGCAAACACCACCAGCAUUGAAGCCAUGUUUUUGCAGCACCAUCUCUGCUGGACAGGACGUGUCAUAAAGAUGCCUGGCAACCAGUUCCCAAAACAGAUGCUAUACUUCCAACUCACUGGUCACCAGUCUAGUGGUGGGCAAAAGAAGAGAUUCAAGGGCACCUUGAAGGCCAGUCUGAAGAAAUGUGAUAUUGACUUCAAUACCUGGGACACUCAUGGCACCAUUAUCUACAACAAGGCACUGAUCGUUGCGAGGAAACUCGCUUCUCUGUGGAGUUAGAAGGCUAGAGAGGAAAAGGAAAAGAGCUGUGACAUGACAUUGCCAGGAACUACUCCUUUCUACCAGAACUGUCUGCCACAGCUGCAGUCAAACAUGAGAAUCUUAGAUUCACCUCCUCAGUCAUCUGCGGGCUCACAAAUGACUUUUCUGCAUGCUGGAAGGCUGUUUUCCUUGUAUCAAGGGGCUGAUGACAACUAGCUUUGUUUUAGCAGAGUGCAUAAAAAAUACACAACCUUCUAACCAUGAUCUGCAACGAACCUUUCAGGGAUGGGGAAGGGAAGGGCCAUUUCUGCUUUUGCUGUUGCUUUGGUUGAAUAAAGGAGACCAGGGGGGGAUUUAGUCUUUUCUU
This 1186-nucleotide long non-coding RNA is filed under the name Crocodylus porosus (Australian saltwater crocodile). Its description in RNAcentral is "lncRNA (ENSCPRG00005018165.1)". Lineage: Eukaryota; Metazoa; Chordata; Crocodylia; Crocodylidae. The record is from RNAcentral.